This 253-nucleotide ribosomal RNA is filed under the name uncultured bacterium. RNAcentral describes it as "partial 16S ribosomal RNA". It matches the Rfam family "Bacterial small subunit ribosomal RNA", at positions 524 to 776 of the family's 1533-position model. The record is from RNAcentral.
UACAGAGGGUGCAAGCGUUAUUCGGAUUUACUGGGCGUAAAGGGCGCGUAGGCGGCUUCGUAAGCUUAAUGUGAAAUCCCAGGGCUCAACUCUGGAAGUGCAUUGAAUACUGCGAGGCUAGAGUGUUGGAGGGGUGGGUGGAAUUCCUGGUGUAGAGGUGAAAUUCGUAGAUAUCAGGAGGAACAUCAGCGGCGAAGGCGGCCCACUGGACAACAACUGACGCUGAGGCGCGAAAGCGUGGGGAGCAAACAGG